AACGAACGCUGGCGGCAUGCCUAACACAUGCAAGUCGAACGAGACCUUCGGGUCUAGUGGCGCACGGGUGCGUAACGCGUGGGAAUCUGCCCUUUGCUUCGGAAUAACAGUUAGAAAUGACUGCUAAUACCGGAUGAUGUCUUCGGACCAAAGAUUUAUCGGCAAAGGAUGAGCCCGCGUAGGAUUAGGUAGUUGGUGGGGUAAAGGCCUACCAAGCCGACGAUCCUUAGCUGGUCUGAGAGGAUGAUCAGCCACACUGGGACUGAGACACGGCCCAGACUCCUACGGGAGGCAGCAGUGGGGAAUAUUGGACAAUGGGCGAAAGCCUGAUCCAGCAAUGCCGCGUGAGUGAUGAAGGCCUUAGGGUUGUAAAGCUCUUUUACCCGACGAUGAUAAUGACAGUAUCGGGAGAAUAAGCUCCGGCUAACUCCGUGCCAG
RNAcentral lists this ribosomal RNA (438 nucleotides) under uncultured bacterium. RNAcentral's name for it is "bacterial SSU rRNA". It matches the Rfam family "Bacterial small subunit ribosomal RNA", at positions 29 to 511 of the family's 1533-position model. The record is from RNAcentral.